Homo sapiens (human) is the source of this 1129-nucleotide long non-coding RNA. Ensembl annotates it as HRG and FETUB antisense RNA 1. Its record names the gene HRG-AS1. The record is from Ensembl. Lineage: Eukaryota; Metazoa; Chordata; Mammalia; Primates; Hominidae.
CUGGCAGAGGUGGUUGGGGCUAUGUGCCUGGAGUGAAGAUUCUGCCCAUUGGUCAAGAGACCUCCCUCUCAGAUGCUGGCUCUGCCCCUGCCUUUGGGGGUCGACCCUUGUACUCGCAGGACCUUAGGUGACUCUGUGGAGUCUGACUCUGUCGCCCAGGCUGAAGUGCAGUGGCACAAUCUCGGCUCACUGCAACCUCCGCCUCCCGGGUCCAAGCCAUUCUUGUGCCUUAGCCUCCUGAGUAGCUGGGAUUGAAGAUUCUACUUCUCUGAUCAUCCAGGAAGCCAACCUGCCUGAGGACGAGUCAUACUCUGUCCUCCCACCCCAGGCCAGAGAGUGGUAUCUGUCUUUCCACAAGUUGUAAGCUUCUACCUUUGAUGAUCACAUAUUUGGUAGUGCGUGAUGGUGGUGGGUGGUGGGUGGCGGUGGUGGUGGGUGGUGAGGGGUGGUAGUGGUGGUGGGUGGUGGUGGGUGGUGGUGGUGGUGGGUGGUGGGUGGUGGUGGGUGGUGGUGGUGGUGGGUGGUGGGUGGUAGGUGGUGGGUGAUGGUGGUGGGUGGUGGGUGGUGGGUGGUGGUGGGUGGUGGGUGAUGGUGGUGGGUGGUGGGUGGUGGUGGUUGGGUGGUGGUGGUGGAUGGUGGUGGUGGUGGGUGAUGGUGGUGGGUGGUGGGUGGCGGUGGUGGUGGGUGGUGAGGGGUGGUAGUGGUGGUGGGUGGUGGUUGGUGGUGGUGGAUGGUGGUGGUUGGUGGUGGUGGGUGGUGGGUGGUGGGUGAUGGUGGUGGGUGAUGGUGGCGAGUGGUGGUGGGUGGUGGGUGAUGGUGGUGGGUGGUGGUGGGUGAUGAUGGUGGGUGGUGGUGGGUGGUGGGUGGUGGGUGAUGGUGGUGGGUGGUGGUGGGUGGUGGGUGGUGGUGGAUGGUGGUGGUGGUGGUGGGUGGUGGUGGUGGUUGUGGUGGUGGUGGUGGGUGAUGGUGGUGGGUGGUGGGUGGUGGUGGUGGGUGCUGGUGGUGGUAUGUGUGUGUGUGUGUGAGGCCUGGACUCCUAGUGAUAGUACAAAUCCCAAGUGACUUCAAGGUUAAACACAAUUCACUCACCGUCUUAGUGGCUUCAGUUAUGCGGUACAAUACAAACUGG